Molecule: transfer RNA, 74 nt
Filed under: Trichonephila inaurata madagascariensis
Lineage: Eukaryota; Metazoa; Arthropoda; Arachnida; Araneae; Nephilidae
Rfam family: tRNA
About the family: Transfer RNA (tRNA) molecules are approximately 80 nucleotides in length. Their secondary structure includes four short double-helical elements and three loops (D, anti-codon, and T loops).
Source: Rfam by way of RNAcentral
GUCCCUGUAGCGCAAUGGAUAAGCGCGUUGGACCUUUAAUCCAAAGGUCGUGGGCUCGAAUCCCACCUGGGAUG